This 706-nucleotide ribosomal RNA is filed under the name Microbacterium sp. CUA-638. RNAcentral's name for it is "bacterial SSU rRNA". It matches the Rfam family "Bacterial small subunit ribosomal RNA", at positions 62 to 780 of the family's 1533-position model. Lineage: Bacteria; Bacillati; Actinomycetota; Actinomycetes; Micrococcales; Microbacteriaceae. The record is from RNAcentral.
UCGAACGGUGAAGCAGAGCUUGCUCUGUGGAUCAGUGGCGAACGGGUGAGUAACACGUGAGCAACCUGCCCUUGACUCUGGGAUAAGCGCUGGAAACGGCGUCUAAUACCGGAUAUGAGCUGCGAUCGCAUGGUCAGCAGUUGGAAAGAUUUUUCGGUCUGGGAUGGGCUCACGGCCUAUCAGCUUGUUGGUGAGGUAAUGGCUCACCAAGGCGUCGACGGGUAGCCGGCCUGAGAGGGUGACCGGCCACACUGGGACUGAGACACGGCCCAGACUCCUACGGGAGGCAGCAGUGGGGAAUAUUGCACAAUGGGCGAAAGCCUGAUGCAGCAACGCCGCGUGAGGGAUGACGGCCUUCGGGUUGUAAACCUCUUUUAGCAGGGAAGAAGCGAAAGUGACGGUACCUGCAGAAAAAGCGCCGGCUAACUACGUGCCAGCAGCCGCGGUAAUACGUAGGGCGCAAGCGUUAUCCGGAAUUAUUGGGCGUAAAGAGCUCGUAGGCGGUUUGUCGCGUCUGCUGUGAAAUCCCGAGGCUCAACCUCGGGUCUGCAGUGGGUACGGGCAGACUAGAGUGCGGUAGGGGAGAUUGGAAUUCCUGGUGUAGCGGUGGAAUGCGCAGAUAUCAGGAGGAACACCGAUGGCGAAGGCAGAUCUCUGGGCCGUUACUGACGCUGAGGAGCGAAAGGGUGGGGAGCAAACAGGCUUA